RNAcentral lists this ribosomal RNA (274 nucleotides) under uncultured bacterium. Its description in RNAcentral is "partial 16S ribosomal RNA". It matches the Rfam family "Bacterial small subunit ribosomal RNA", at positions 523 to 796 of the family's 1533-position model. The record is from RNAcentral.
AUACGGGGGGGGCUAGCGUUGUCCGGAAUUAUUGGGCGUAAAGGGCGCGUAGGCGGAAUGGUACGUCAGUGGUGAAAAUCCAGGGCUCAACCCUGGACCUGCCUUUGAUACUGCCAUUCUUGAGUGCGAGAGAGGAAAGUGGAAUUCCCGGUGUAGCGGUGAAAUGCGUGGAUAUCGGGAAGAACACCGGUAGCGAAGGCGGCUUUCUGGCUCGCAACUGACGCUGAGGCGCGAAAGCGUGGGGAGCAAACAGGAUUAGAAACCCCAGUAGUCC